This 1084-nucleotide long non-coding RNA is filed under the name Equus caballus (horse). RNAcentral's name for it is "lncRNA (ENSECAG00000057787.1)". The record is from RNAcentral. Lineage: Eukaryota; Metazoa; Chordata; Mammalia; Perissodactyla; Equidae.
GUCUCGGCCCGCCUGUCUGCAAAGCGAGGCGCAGGCAGCGCCCGAUUCUUAAACCUUAUUCGGUGGAGGGGGGCUAGGUGGUCUGCGAUGCCGGGCAGCAGGAAACGCGGGACUGCUAGAACUGGGUUAGGAGGCUAGUUGCACCAGAUGCCAGUAAACGCAGCCAAUGGGUUACGUCCAAUGUAGGGAGGAGAUCUUGAAAAGGACACUGUUUUUUUUUAUUAAGGGGGAUGCAGCCUGAAUGUGAUGCCCCAGACAGCUCAGGGACCUCCGUGGGGCACCUGUCUGUCCAGUCCCCGUUCCGCAGACACUGGCCCCGCGGCUUUCCCGAACGAAAGCAAGUUUCUCAGACGCCCUCGCAGCUAGGCACAGAAAUACGCCUCGUUCCAGCCAACAGGAGGAGGUCGUGAGCUUGGAGCAAGGAGGAGGAGAGGGUGAAGCCAAGCUAGUGAACUGUGGACUGGGUGAUGCCUCUGGGACACAGCUCCUUUCUGGACCAGUUGGCCACACUGCUGCAGGGCGUGAAGAGGGGGAGGGAAAUGCCCACAGAGCCAGCGUGGCCUCCACUCCGCCCCCAACCAGGCCUCUCUUGCCAGUUACUGAUCACACUCACCUGCCAUUCGCAGCUGCCACGCGAGACCCGCUGAGCUCUACCUGACCCAUUUUGACAGUAAUAUGGGGCGGCCUCAGAGAGCAUCAGGGAUACUCAAAGCAGAGCAGGCCCACUUUAUUUUCCUUUAUUAAAAAAUAAAAAGAUUCGAGACACGCACAGUCCCAACUCAUAAAGGGGCUGUACUGUAACCAGUGACUUAGUUUCGGGGUGAAGCCCAAACGGUCAUUGCCAAGAGUAUAGCUGAAUUGUGGCGCAGACUGCAAGCCUGAGGACUGGGAUUAUGGGAACAAGAAGCAGUCAGGAAGGAGGAAAAGAAAGAAGCUGAGAGUUUCUUCUCCUUUCCCUGGCCCCGAAGUCGGCUGUAAAUAAAGUUUUAAAUAGAAAAGCUUGGCCUCUAUCUUCCUCUGACUUCCCCCUUACCGCUCUGUCCUGAUGUGGUCUGGUCCCAGGGCCGCUCGUGCUCUUCUGGCC